This 694-nucleotide ribosomal RNA is filed under the name uncultured bacterium. Its description in RNAcentral is "bacterial SSU rRNA". It matches the Rfam family "Bacterial small subunit ribosomal RNA", at positions 594 to 1286 of the family's 1533-position model. The record is from RNAcentral.
GUGAAAUCUCACGGCUUAACUGUGAGCGUGCGGGCGGUACGGGCAGACUUGAGUACUGCAGGGGAGACUGGAAUUCCUGGUGUAGCGGUGGAAUGCGCAGAUAUCAGGAGGAACACCGGUGGCGAAGGCGGGUCUCUGGGCAGUAACUGACGCUGAGGAGCGAAAGCGUGGGGAGCGAACAGGAUUAGAUACCCUGGUAGUCCACGCCGUAAACGGUGGGUACUAGGUGUGGGUUUCCUUCCUUGGGAUCCGUGCCGUAGCUAACGCAUUAAGUACCCCGCCUGGGGAGUACGGCCGCAAGGCUAAAACUCAAAGAAAUUGACGGGGGCCCGCACAAGCGGCGGAGCAUGUGGAUUAAUUCGAUGCAACGCGAAGAACCUUACCUGGGUUUGACAUGCACAGGACGCCGGCAGAGAUGUCGGUUCCCUUGUGGCCUGUGUGCAGGUGGUGCAUGGCUGUCGUCAGCUCGUGUCGUGAGAUGUUGGGUUAAGUCCCGCAACGAGCGCAACCCUCGUCUCAUGUUGCCAGCGGGUAAUGCCGGGGACUCGUGAGAGACUGCCGGGGUCAACUCGGAGGAAGGUGGGGAUGACGUCAAGUCAUCAUGCCCCUUAUGUCCAGGGCUUCACACAUGCUACAAUGGCCGGUACAAAGGGCUGCGAUGCCGCGAGGUUAAGCGAAUCCUUUUAAAGCCGGU